Punica granatum (pomegranate) is the source of this 764-nucleotide non-coding RNA. The record is from RefSeq and is a predicted model, not a curated record. Lineage: Eukaryota; Viridiplantae; Streptophyta; Magnoliopsida; Myrtales; Lythraceae.
AAUCGUUGCCAUGGUUUUGACCUGUGACCACCAUGUAUUCUCGAUCUCUCUAACUCCUUUUAUCAUCUUAUUUUAAUUUUGUUGAUGAUCUCAGAGCAGGACGAUGAGACCUGCUCAUAAUGAGACGACGAAGAUGACAACCGUUGAAGUCAGAAAGGCUAAAGUCAAUAUCUUCUGGCUUGUGAAGCCAAGGGUCAAGACUUGGCUACACCAUGACAGAAAAAUAUGGAAGGGCUUGAUUGAGAUAGGAAAAGAAACCGUAGGGGAUAAAAUGAAAUUAACCUCAAAAAGGAAAAAAAAAAAAAAGGGACAGCCGUGCCCAUCCAUUCCAAUAAGAUACUGUUUGCAUACUCCAUGUGAGCUAAAGAGAAAGGAGCAGAAUAUAAAGUAAACGCCAGAAUCAAGAAGGUAGCAAGCAGAAUGAAGGUGAAGGCGAUGCCUCAACUGCUGAUGAAGAAAGGUGCUCCCAUGGACAAGCUCCUGGAUGUCAAUCCUGUUGAGAUCAGGAAUCAGAUUGACUCCUUUGUCCAGUCCACUCGAACAUACAUCGCUUAGGUUCUGAGCUCCCCAGAGACAUGUUUACUUUCUUUUGGCUAGUAUAAUUUUGUAUAGACAUAUAUAUUAACAGAUGUAAAUAUAUAGUUAAAUAGUAGAUAUUUGUUCCUUAAUUUGUUAUUAUUGAGUACACAAUCGAGCUUCCUUGUCAAUGUCAUGGAAAGUUGCAGGCAAAGAGAACAUCUACAAAUUCACCCAAAAAAAAAAAA